ACUUUCUGGGCAGCUACAGGGAGGAGGGAAAAGAAUUCUAGGCAGAGACUCAAGCACGUGCAAAGGCACUGAGGUGUGAGACGGCAGGACAUGACGUGCAAAGGCACUGAGGUGUGAGACGGCAGGAUGUGACCGGGAAUCAAAACUCUAGCUGGUGUGGUGCGGAGCAACAGGCAGGGAGUUUUAAAUCUACAAGUGACCUGUAGCUCUUUGAGUUGUUUGGGGGCCUUGAAUAAUUUAGAUAAUUGCCACACAUUCUCCUUUGGCUUCACAUCAAAGUCACCCCUUCUUGGCAACUCCUGAAGUGGCUGAGGACGCUGGCUCAGGGCCACUUACCACCACCCCAGCUGGAUGGCAGCAGGCCUGCUGCGGCCUCUGACGGCAGUGCCCUGAAGGUACUAACCACAUUCCAGCCCUGGCUGCUCUCUGGUGCCGACAACCCCCCCAGGGCCUCCACACCAGGGAGGGACAGCGAUUUUAAAGGAGAAGGUAAUUGGCUUUGUUUGGUGAGACUUCGCAUAAUAGGCUGUGCUCGUCACUUUAAAUAUUAUCGCAUUUGAGUCCCGCAGUCAGCUCAAGUGGAGGGCCUUGUCCGUCUGGCUUGUAGAAGAAACUUGGCCUUGUAAGGUUCCACCUGGCUCGUUCUGGGUCACAAGCCUGGCCAAUGUUCCCUCCUCAGUCUGGCUUUUAGAUUUCAAUUAGAUUCAAAAUUGAGAGGCUUCAUUGCUCAUAUGGGCACGUCUCAUAUUCCUUAAGUUUUAGGAGAAACUGAAACCCACCCUUGAGCCCAUGGGUGGGCCUUUGGUUUUUCCUAGUCACCCCCCCCCCCCCAGGGACCUGGCUGGCACAACCAUCUCUUGUGGCCUCUUUGCUUGGUCAAGUCAUGUUACCUCUGUGGCCCCUUCCUGGCUAAGGAGCUCUGGUGACAGAAAUGGUAGGUAGCUCCUUCUGUUUUUUUUCAUCCUGGCCUUUAACCCACAGAAGUCACAACUGGCUUUUGGACGAGGCUUCCCCAGAAGAAAGGGAGGAAGGACAAGCACAGCAGUGGUUUGGCUGCAACAUUCAAAGACCUGAAAAUAUGGAAGCAGGCUCUGGGGAAGAGGAGCACUGAGAAUAGCAGCCGUGAAUACGGGAAGUGCUGAGCCCAGGGCUCUUUGGAGGAGCUGUGGCUUCGUUCUGGAGCCUGUUAGUCUCUACGAAGAGGACACUCAGUUCCGAACUGCCCCCCCGGGGCCGGCCUGCAAGGUGGCAAGGGUCACCCAGCUGGUUCUCUCAGUCUUUUGCCCAAUAUCUUCAAUCCAGACUUGUCUGUCUCCGCUCACUAUAUUUUGCACAUCUUAAGGGGCCAUGAAAGAAAAGUUCAUGUUAAUCAUACUGAAGAUGUGUUCACUCGGCAUGAUUUAUUGAGAACUGAUGUGUGCCCCGUUCUCGAAUUCAAGGAUGAACUGGAACUCACUGCCUGAUGUCAUUAUAUGGUAUCGUGUGACCAGCAGCAUAAAGAGGCACAUACACAGAGCUCUGGAGCCCAGAGAGGAGAGAGGCUGAGGGCCCUGAAAGAGCCAAGAUCAUCUUUCCAAUGGGUUUGCAAAGCGUGCACGUGAACUUGACCAAGAGGAAAGCAAAGGGCGGGUGAGGCAGAAGGGCUGCAUGUUCUGGGAGGAGAUGAAGAGUUGGGCACAACGGGGGAAGAGUCAGGAGUGGACAAAGGUGAAGCCAGGAAGAUACAGGGGCAUGGACAGCAGGCUUGGGAACUUGAAUUUUACGCCAUAAUAGUGGAUGGUUUUUAUGCAAAUGUUAGAUGGGAUCUUAGUACUAUAUUUCAGAAUACUAAAUUUAUGAUAGGUAUGAUAAAUAAUAACAUUAAUUACAAAUGAUGAUGGUGACGGAAAUACAAAUAGCAAGUCUCUUCAUCAUAUGUCAGUGGUGAUGGGAUGUCACUCCCAUGAUUAGGUGGUAUAUAUAAACAUCCGUCUUAGUGAACUAGAGGCAGAGAUUCUUCUGCUAGCCCCGAGGAAACAAACUACCAUAUUGUGAACUGCCUGUGGAGAGGGCCACGUGCCAGGGAUCUGGGGGCAGAUUCUGGGAUCUGUGUUGGCCUCCAGCCAACAAAGGCUAGGGUCCUCAGUCACACACUGCCAAGGAAAUGAAUUCUGUCAACCAUCUGAAUGGGCUUGGAAGCAAAACCUUCUCCAGUCGAACCUCCAGAUGAGAACAUAACCCAGUCAGCACUUUGAGUGAAGCCUUGGAAGAUGCUAAGCAGAGCUGAGUCAUGCUGGGACCCAAGCAAACUGUCAUAGAAAUAAAUGCAUGUGUUUGUUUUAAGCUGCUGGUUUU
Molecule: long non-coding RNA, 2334 nt
Filed under: Sus scrofa (pig)
Lineage: Eukaryota; Metazoa; Chordata; Mammalia; Artiodactyla; Suidae
Description: lncRNA (ENSSSCG00015031719.1)
Source: RNAcentral